RNAcentral lists this ribosomal RNA (135 nucleotides) under uncultured Hyphomicrobiaceae bacterium. RNAcentral describes it as "partial 16S ribosomal RNA". It matches the Rfam family "Bacterial small subunit ribosomal RNA", at positions 355 to 507 of the family's 1533-position model. The record is from RNAcentral. Lineage: Bacteria; Pseudomonadati; Pseudomonadota; Alphaproteobacteria; Hyphomicrobiales; Hyphomicrobiaceae.
UGGGGAAUAUUGGACAAUGGGCGCAAGCCUGAUCCAGCCAUGCCGCGUGAGUGAUGAAGGUCUUCGGAUUGUAAAGCUCUUUCGGCAGGGACGAUAAUGACGGUACCCGCAGAAUAAGCCCCGGCUAACUUCGUG